UACGGCCGCAUCACGCUGAAACAACGGUUCCCAUAUGAUCACGGAAGUUAAGCACCAUCAAGCCUGCUCAGUAUUUAGAUGGGUAACCGCUUGGGAAUAAUAGGUACUGUAA
Non-coding RNA from Acanthosepion pharaonis, 112 nucleotides. The record is from the annotation of a GenBank genome assembly. NCBI's taxonomy places the organism in Eukaryota, Metazoa, Mollusca, Cephalopoda, Sepiida, Sepiidae.